CGGCGUGCUUAACACAUGCAAGUCGAACGAGACGAUUUAGAAGCUUGCUUUAUGAGUCGAGUGGCAAACGGGUGAGUAACGCGUAGACAACCUGCCGCAAAGAUGGGGACAACAGUCCGAAAGGACUGCUAAUACCGAAUGUUGUAUCUCCUCCGCAUGGAAGAGAUAUUAAAGAUGGCCUCUACGUUGUAAGCUAUCGCUUUGCGAUGGGUCUGCGUCUGAUUAGCUAGUUGGUGGGGCAACGGCCUACCAAGGCGACGAUCAGUAGCCGGUCUGAGAGGAUGAACGGCCACAUUGGAACUGAGACACGGUCCAGACUCCUACGGGAGGCAGCAGUGGGGAAUCUUCCGCAAUGGGCGAAAGCCUGACGGAGCAACGCCGCGUGAGUGAAGAAGGCCUUCGGGUCGUAAAGCUCUGUUGAAGGGGACGAAUGUUGCGCUUAUCAACAACGAGUGCAAAUGACGGUACCUUUCGAGGAAGCCACGGCUAACUACGUG
This 497-nucleotide ribosomal RNA is filed under the name uncultured bacterium. RNAcentral describes it as "bacterial SSU rRNA". It matches the Rfam family "Bacterial small subunit ribosomal RNA", at positions 40 to 507 of the family's 1533-position model. The record is from RNAcentral.